UACUCUGAGCAAGACAAGCCAGUCACAA
Molecule: non-coding RNA, 28 nt
Filed under: Mus musculus (house mouse)
Lineage: Eukaryota; Metazoa; Chordata; Mammalia; Rodentia; Muridae
Source: RNAcentral